AAAAGCAAAACAUAAGAAC
This 19-nucleotide small RNA is filed under the name Arabidopsis thaliana (thale cress). RNAcentral's name for it is "ATSL012060". The record is from RNAcentral. Lineage: Eukaryota; Viridiplantae; Streptophyta; Magnoliopsida; Brassicales; Brassicaceae.